UGACAUUCCCUCCCAACAUGCUCAAAGCAGAAGCCCUGAUCCUUACGGUGGGGAAACAUCUACCGAGGUGCAAGCAGCCAGGGUAGACACCAGCAGGUCCAGGCUCUGCGCCACAGUGUGUCCUCACAGGAGAGGAGAGCAGGUCCUGGGAGAAGUGGCCCAAGUGGGCGAAGUAGCCUGAAGAUGCAGAGAAGCCACACUGGGAUUGAGUAUUUGUGCAGCACUCAGCCAGCAGGAAGAGCUAGCGCCUGCCUGUGUCCUUGUACUAUGCAGGGUGAUGUGACCUCUGUCUAUGCAGAGGUGGCUGACAGUCCUGAAGCACGUGUGUCCAGUUGUGAAAGCUCAGAGUUUUCUUCCUCCUCUUUUUAUUUCCUUGUGUACCCUGGCAGGUCUUGAACUUUUGAACUUUCAGCACUUUCUCUCUCUGCCUCCCAGACACUUAGAUGCAGGUGUGUCACAGCAGCCUGCUGCUGCUGCCGCUGCUGCUACUCCUGCUGCCACUGCUGCCUCGUUGUUGUUGUUCUUCUUCUUCCUCUUAUUACAUGUAUGUAUUUGUGUGUGUACACAUGUGAGAAUAUGCAAGCCACGAUAAAUGUUCGAGUCAGGACAA
RNAcentral lists this long non-coding RNA (610 nucleotides) under Rattus norvegicus (Norway rat). RNAcentral describes it as "long non-coding RNA NONRATT005741". The record is from RNAcentral. Lineage: Eukaryota; Metazoa; Chordata; Mammalia; Rodentia; Muridae.